RNAcentral lists this transfer RNA (63 nucleotides) under Tribolium castaneum (red flour beetle). RNAcentral's name for it is "tRNA-Ile". The record is from RNAcentral. Lineage: Eukaryota; Metazoa; Arthropoda; Insecta; Coleoptera; Tenebrionidae.
AAUGAAGUGCCUGAAAAAGGAUUAUUUUGAUAGAAUAAAUCAUGUAAGAAAUUACCUUCAUUA